ACGGAACUUCUUUAAAGGAUUUCUUCGGAAUGAAUUUGAUUAAGUUUAGUGGCGGACGGGUGAGUAACGCGUGAGUAACCUGCCUCUAAGAGGGGAAUAACAUUCUGAAAAGAAUGCUAAUACCGCAUAACAUAUAUUUAUCGCAUGGUAGAUAUAUCAAAGAUUUAUCGCUUAGAGAUGGACUCGCGUCCGAUUAGUUAGUUGGUGAGGUAACGGCUCACCAAGACCGCGAUCGGUAGCCGGACUGAGAGGUUGAACGGCCACAUUGGGACUGAGACACGGCCCAGACUCCUACGGGAGGCAGCAGUGGGGGAUAUUGCGCAAUGGGGGAAACCCUGACGCAGCAACGCCGCGUGAAGGAUGAAGGUCUUUGGAUUGUAAACUUCUUUUAUUAAGGACGAAGAAAGUGACGGUACUUAAUGAAUAAGCUCCGGCUAACUACGUGCCAGCAGCCGCGGUAAUACGUAGGGAGCAAGCGUUGUCCGGAUUUACUGGGUGUAAAGGGUGCGUAGGCGGCUUUGCAAGUCAGAUGUGAAAUCUAUGGGCUCAACCCAUAGCCUGCAUUUGAAACUGCAGAGCUUGAGUGAAGUAGAGGCAGGCGGAAUUCCCCGUGUAGCGGUGAAAUGCGUAGAGAUGGG
This 638-nucleotide ribosomal RNA is filed under the name uncultured bacterium. Its description in RNAcentral is "bacterial SSU rRNA". It matches the Rfam family "Bacterial small subunit ribosomal RNA", at positions 66 to 700 of the family's 1533-position model. The record is from RNAcentral.